AGGGAAAGUUGCAAAGAACUUUGAAGAGAGAGUUCAAGAGUACGUGAAACUGCUCAGAGGCAAACGGGUGGGCCCUCGAAAUCCCGCUGCGGGGGGAUUCAGUCGGAAGGCCAGGAAGCGCCGCCGGAGGCGGACGGAACGCACCGUCGCCACCGGGGAGCGCCAGUGCCGCCCGACGCACUUCCUCCCGCACAGAGGACGCCGCAGCCGGUCGGGUAGCAGCGAGAGUCGGCCAUGAGGACCGGCGACGGCAGGUGGCGGGGCGACCGCCCAGGCGGAUCUCCCGUCGUUAGCCAGUCGGUUCCGAGGCGCGACACCCGACCGAGGAGAGGGAGCCCCCCCGGGGGCUCCGGCCGUGCACUCGCAUCGUACAGUGCGAGCGGGCCAGCAGGGCAGGAGAGGUCCUCCGCGGACUUGAACCACCCAGAAGCGGUGGCUCGUCCCGGAGUCUCCACGUUAGCCUCGCGGCACCGCAGCGAGCGCGAUACGGCUGGCGGCGAGUAGGUCGGUCACCCACCCGUCCCGUCUUGAAACACGGACCAAGGAGUCUAACAUGUGCGCGAGUCACGGGGUCUUGAACAGGCCCACGGGCGCAAUGAAAGUGAAGGUCGGGACCCAGUCCCGUCCGAGUUGGGAUCCCCGGUUCCGGCCGGGGCGCACCAACAGCCCGUGCCGUCCGAUCUGAUCGGUGGCCCGGAGUCGGAGCGUACACGUUGGGACCCGAAAGAUGGUGAACUAUGCCCGGGCAGGUCGAAGUCAGAGGAAACUCUGGUGGAGGACCGCAGCGGUUCUGACGUGCAAAUCGAUCGUCAGACCUAGG
This 820-nucleotide ribosomal RNA is filed under the name Spermophora sp. Mal2. RNAcentral's name for it is "partial 28S ribosomal RNA". It matches the Rfam family "Eukaryotic large subunit ribosomal RNA", at positions 356 to 915 of the family's 3401-position model. Lineage: Eukaryota; Metazoa; Arthropoda; Arachnida; Araneae; Pholcidae. The record is from RNAcentral.